This 28-nucleotide small RNA is filed under the name Bombyx mori (domestic silkworm). Its description in RNAcentral is "ovarian small RNA-18806". The record is from RNAcentral. Lineage: Eukaryota; Metazoa; Arthropoda; Insecta; Lepidoptera; Bombycidae.
UAACGAGACGCCGGAGGAGGUCGUGACU